ACGCGAGCUGGGUUCAGCACGUCGUGAGACAGUUCGGUCCCUAUCCGUCGCAGGCGUAGGAAAUUUGAGAAGACCUGUCCUUAGUACGAGAGGACCGGGAUGGACGUACCUCUGGUGUACCAGUUGUCCUGCCAAGGGCAUGGCUGGGUAGCUAUGUGCGGAAUGGAUAAGCGCUGAAAGCCUCUAAGCGCGAAGCCAACUUCAAGAUAAGAUUUCCCACCGCAAGGGUAAGACCCCAGACAGACUAACUGGUUGAUAGGGCGAAGGUGUAAGGGCAGCACUGUAUUUAGCUUAUCGAUACUAAUAGGUCGAGGACUUGACCAAU
This 325-nucleotide ribosomal RNA is filed under the name Clostridioides difficile. Its description in RNAcentral is "bacterial LSU rRNA". It matches the Rfam family "Bacterial large subunit ribosomal RNA", at positions 2598 to 2925 of the family's 2925-position model. The record is from RNAcentral. Lineage: Bacteria; Bacillati; Bacillota; Clostridia; Peptostreptococcales; Peptostreptococcaceae.